Molecule: non-coding RNA, 87 nt
Organism: Morus notabilis
Lineage: Eukaryota; Viridiplantae; Streptophyta; Magnoliopsida; Rosales; Moraceae
Source: Rfam
GGCCGGUGAUGUGAUUAAAAUAUUUGCUACUCUUGAUGGGACUCUCAUCCCAUCUGAUGAUUCUUAUCCACCAAGAUCUCUGAGGCU